CGUUGAUAUAAAAUGCCGGACAACGGAAUUAAUUCAUAUUCUAAACGUACUCUUCCAUUGCUACCAACGUCAAGCUCCUUGUCAGCUUCAAAAGUAUCAGUUGAUAUCAGAAAAUAAGCAUAGCGUUGAGGGAUAAGAUGAGGGCGGUACUGGUUGCUGUUGCUCUGUGCCUGAUCGUCUCAAAAUUGACGAGUGCAAGUAGGAGCCAAACAGAACCUGCAGCUGCUAAACAUCAAGAAAACUAUGACAAAAGUUUUGCGUAUAUGCUCGCCAAUAACAAACGCAGAACAACUGCUACAGGACGUGUUAAACGGCAUGGCUUCUGGGGAGGCAUUGGAGGUGGCCUGACAGAUUGGUAAGGUAGAGGGAAAAUAAAUCAGACGUGAGGGGAUUGAAGAUAUCGACGAAGAGAUGAAAUUAGACUGAGGAAAUGACAAUCUUCAUUUCAGCAAAAUACCAAUAGGAAAUAAAACAUAUCAAACAUGUUCGAUACAUUUGAUUGUAAAAUUAUAUAGAAAUAAAGUCUCAUUUGAUUCCGGAUUAUAUGUUAAUCAGAUUCAAACAGUGUAACUCAACUAUUCAAAGAAGUUUCGAGGAGUCUUACAAAACAUGUUUGAAUGUUCCACUUGUAACUAACAUUCCUGGAAGAUAAGGCAAAGCAUCAUUAUGGAAACAGAAAUGAUUGUUAUAUUAAGAGCUUAUGUGAUAACCUACACCAAAUUUUAAAACUUUGUACUAUGCCUAGAAAUGGUCGUUUCUUCAGAACAGAAAUGCAUCAACAAUCAUCAAGUUUGAUUAAUCCAUGCCAAUGAACAUUUCGCAUUCAAAAGUGCACGAUUGAAGUGCCAUCACAGUGGAUAUGAAUACUUAUUAAGAAUCAAAGUAGGAAACAUUUCAAAACAAAAUCAUUACAAUGUAACUUUUAAAACGUUGAUUCAUUCGAAAAUAUAUUUGUGUUUUAAGUAAUGCAACAUUUUGCCGUCCACCUCAUACAAUAAAAUUUAACAUACAUUUA
Molecule: long non-coding RNA, 1015 nt
Organism: Pecten maximus
Lineage: Eukaryota; Metazoa; Mollusca; Bivalvia; Pectinida; Pectinidae
Exons: 2
Source: RefSeq, a predicted model, not a curated record